CCUGGGACUUGCGUCCCAGGCUCAUGCAUUUCGUCGCUUUGCGACU
RNAcentral lists this small RNA (46 nucleotides) under Rosistilla oblonga. Its description in RNAcentral is "Acido-Lenti-1 RNA". It matches the Rfam family "Acido-Lenti-1 RNA". Lineage: Bacteria; Pseudomonadati; Planctomycetota; Planctomycetia; Pirellulales; Pirellulaceae. The record is from Rfam by way of RNAcentral.